CCUCAUGAAAGAGGCGCCACCAUGGUCGGAGCUCAACCUUUGGUCGAGAGCUACAAUGUGCCGAUAUUCUGCAAGGAUGUCCCGACCGUGAGAAGAAUCACCCGGAGGGUAACUGGACGGAGCGGAGGGCUCCCUUCAGUACAGGCACUUGCGCUUUUCCAUGGCGACAAUUGCACGGAGAUCGCAUGCUUUUUGCUGGAUCCAGACCACGUCGGCGCCGAUCGGGUUCAAUGGCUGGUGGAGCAGAUUGCAGAAGAGCAAGGGCUUGAAGUUGACAAGGGCUAUUUCACCGACCUGUCAAAGCAUAUGAUGCUAGAAAGGUACUCCGAGAUGGUUUCUGCAGCUGACUGACCUGUUGAAUUUCGUGCCGACACUCUUGUAAUCAUGCAUGCCUGCACUUCCAUGUAUGCUGCUGUUUAAACUGUGGCACCAACUUGGACUCCGGACCGACCAAUUCCGAAAUUUUGUAUAUACUUAGUUAUAUCUGCACUAGAGGUGGUUCUCUGGAAACUUCGCCGCAGUAAUUGGCGCAUAACAGGUCUCAUCACUGAAUGAGAAUGUUGUUUUCAGUAAUUAAAGUCUGGCAACUUGGCAAGGCAGUAUUCCUUAAUGCCAACUGACAAAAUGCUUUUCGGGGGUGGAGGGGGUGGGGGGCACACAUUUUUGCGUAGAAUUUUGGAACAGAAAAGAUUAGAGGGUAAAAAUUAUUAUAUAAAUAUAUGUGAAAAUAUGAAUAAUUUAAGUUAUUUUGUCUCAGUUUGUACCAUGCACUACAAUAUAUUUAGAAUGCUGCUGUAGGAGGGGGCACUUCAAAGUUCAAAUAGCCAUCAAAUAUCUUUGUGUAAGUCAGCUUGCAGGAGAUUUACAAGUCCUUUUGCAGAUUCCAUAAGAUUGAAGGAAGAUAAGGAAAACAUUAAAAAGAUGGUGAGUAAAAAUUAUGGACAAUGAAGCAAAGUAGGGAAAUGAGCGAGUACUGGAUUCAGCAUUUGGACAGUAGCAUAAAUCUAUAAUCUUGGGUACCAUAUGGUAGGGAAGACCGGAGGCGGAGGAAAGAACCAUCAUGCUUUAGAUAGACCUUUUGCGGCAGCAUGUACCUGUCAAAUGGGUAAUCAAGCAUCCUCACGUGAUCAUCUAAAUUCACAUAAUGAGCAAUUGUGGCAGUUGUACUAGCAACAUCAACAGCAAUGGACAAAAACCGCACUAAGAAUCUACGGAUGAAAAGGAAGGGCAUAUCAAAAACUCCAAAGUUUCUUAAAGAUAGACCAUGUAAGUAGAUUCAAUAUCUUUAUCGGGAAAAAGAUGUAGAUUCAAUUACUGAGAAAAGAAUAAUACAAAUAAAUGAGCGAUUAACUUCAAUGUUGGAGGUGGAGGCGGAGUGCGCGCCACUGGAGGCCAAUGGCGUCCGUGCGCCAGGCGGCGGUGAGGAGCACGGCAAGGCAGACAGAGUGACCGCGAAAGGAAAGGCCCCAAAACGCGCGGUGGGCUGGCAGCCGGCCCACGAAUGGUUUUCUGGUUCCUUUUUUAUUUCCGAUUAAAAAUAUAUUUAAUGUAAAAAAUAUUUUAUUUUUUAGAAAUUUUGAGAUAUUCAUAUAUCAAUUAAUUUUACUUUUUAAAAAUAUNNNNNNNNNNNNNNNNNNNNNNNNNNNNNNNNNNNNNNNNNNNNNNNNNNNNNNNNNNNNNNNNNNNNNNNNNNNNNNNNNNNNNNNNNNNNNNNNNNNNNNNNNNNNNNNNNNNNNNNNNNNNNNNNNNNNNNNNNNNNNNNNNNNNNNNNNNNNNNNNNNNNNNNNNNNNNNNNNNNNNNNNNNNNNNNNNNNNNNNNNNNNNNNNNNNNNNNNNNNNNNNNNNNNNNNNNNNNNNNNNNNNNNNNNNNNNNNNNNNNNNNNNNNNNNNNNNNNNNNNNNNNNNNNNNNNNNNNNNNNNNNNNNNNNNNNNNNNNNNNNNNNNNNNNNNNNNNNNNNNAAAAGAACCAGAGAAGAAUGCCCAAGAAAACAUAACAAACUGAUCUUCAGCUCGUGUCUAGUGGUCCACCGAAGAAUUGGAGAUUCCACACGAGAGCUCACGAGACACAGGUUUUUUUUAGAAAGGUCGCACUUCAUUAUUUGAAGUUUACAAAAAUUGGACAUAAUGGGUCAUGGGGCUGGCCUAGCCAAAUAUGACGCCCGUGAUCGAAUGAAUGAGAGAAUUUAGCUAGCAAAUGUGCUUCAUAAUUUGGUGUUCUUCUCUACUUCUCUACUAUUAUUAAACAAGAAAGCAUAUUCAUGGCUAACUCCACCCAUUUUAGGCUACACAUAACAACACAGAGAAAUUAUAGCCCCUCGAUCAGAUCACUUCAUUUGAUCUAACCAUUCAGAUUACACUAACCCUCAGUUAAAACUGCGUUUAGCAAUUAACGGUGGUGGACGAUACUCUGUCGAGCGAAGGAAAUUUACCACGCCACGCUCAGUUCGCAAAGAAAUAAAACUAUCUCGAUCUGGAUCAUGUUUGUCCAUCAUUUUCCACGUGACACCCCAACCGCACCGCCUCCCCACGCGAGGGUGUCGGACCUGCACUUCCUCGGGCUCCACCGCGACAACCACUGCGGAUCCAUCUGGAUCUAGGUGAAGCGGAGAACGUAUCGCUGUCAGGUACAUGGCCUCCUCACUAGGGUUUCAAAAAUUGGGUGGCGGCCGAGGAGGCGAGACUCUCCGGGAGGGACGAUGGAAGGCAACCGGGAGGGGACGCGCAUAACGACCCGGAAAACAUCCGCCCUCACCCGCUUGGCGAAGGACAGGGCAAUAGCUGCUUCCGGGAUGUGAUGAUCCCUCUGCCCCGUUCGCCUCCUCACCACCCCAACGCUCGCCAUCACAGGGUUGCCCCCCUCAUGCUUGGCCCUCAACUCUGCCAACAGGGAGGUAAAUAGGAUUUGUGAGUUCCUUUUUUGUUUUUGUUGAUUGUAAUGUUAAAUAUGGCUCCUGAUUGAAUACAGACUUUAUUACUAGACAAGAGACUAGAUCAAAAGUGAUUGUUCUCAGUAAUCUUCAAGGAAUUAGCACAAGGGAAGAAAAACUUAUUUGUCCACGUCAGCGAGACGCCGUCAAAAGUGACCGUUGACAUUUUGUAUAUAUCUUUUGCCACCGAAUACAGGAGUCACCUCGGUUCACAUGACCGAUCAUCAAAUCAUCACGAACGAGCUCUAGUAACCGAAAAGAAAAACCAGCGGCAGAGCAGAUGGCUACAUGAGCAUAUCAACGUGGAAAACGAUGGCUCAUUUCAGAUCACAAAUGCUUUUCUAAGGCCAUGUUUGCUUUAGCUUUUAUCGACGGAUUCCGCUGCCACGCAGCAGAAUCUGAACCAAAGGGCGAACCCAGCAGAAUUCGAUUCCAGAAAUCCGCUGCCAAAAUCUGAAUUAAAAGUGGAAGCAGCCCAGGACGUGCUUUCCAAAAUUUGAUUCCGCUUCGGGCCAAAAUCUAAAAAAGCUGUAUCAGCUGGUUUGCCAAAUGACCUACAUAUUUUUCACAUCAGAUUUUCCAUAACUGUUUUUUUCACAGCUGUUUUUUCACAGCUGCUUUUAGAAAUCCACAGCCGAACGCCUAAGAUCCACGUGACCGCCGCUUACGGCCGCACAGUCCUAUCCAGAGAGCAGUGUACCCAUCGAUACAGGUCAGAUGUUUGUCCCGUUUCCCAUCAGCGACCUAUCUCACUUUGCCUCCUCAUGAUCAGGACGACGUACGCCGCUGAUCAGAGUCACGGAUUGCUCUUCUCGAGACGUCAGAGCAUGCAGAGCCCUCCGGACGAAAUAUCUUGGAUCGGUUACGAAAUUGAUACACAGAAUGCAACCUGCAAAGCAGCAAUUCGACCAUAUAUAUAUUUCUUUUAUUUUUAACAGAGAUAUUUCAUUUAUUUAGCAACAGCGUACAUGUACAAUUGUGCAGUUAAGCACAGUAGAAAGAGCAGCUACAACUGCAUUGAGGCAGGCUUCAUUGCCUACUCCUAAGCAUCUGAACCUGUAAGGUGUAUUCUGAAUUUUGAGAGCAAGCUUGGCAUGAUGAUGAGCACGAAAAUUAUAGCCUCUGUUUUUUUCCCGAAAAGGUGGCCUCUGUUAAUGUGGUAGAGCCUUGUGAUAUCAAACGCCGAGGAACCUGUAAUAUGUGCGAGCUGAGGUCUGAUUGUCCAAUGACCUGGAUCUGAGAUGAGGUCUUGAGAAACUACAGCUGACGCCAAUGUCGCACAGUCUGUUAGGAAAGUGGCAUGUUGAAGAUGGAGUAGCUGCGCAAUCUGGGAAGCAAGCAUCAUGCUGAAUGCUUCAGCCUUCAGCCUGGAUGGCCGACGCCAGUGGUGGCCAAGUGGCUGAUAUGCACAGCUGAGAGCAGCUUCUAUCACCUGCAAACUGGAUAAAAACUCCUAUUCCUGCAAUUGCCGGUCCCCCUUUAGGUCCUAGAGUCCAGGAAGCAUCUGAAAAUACUAUGGGACCUGUAAUGUUGGUCAGAUCCAUGAUUGUUUUUCCUGGAGAUGGCAGCACACUGUGAGUAAGAACAGCUCCUCUUUGCCCAGAUGCGUCCACAGCCUUAUUCCCCUUCAAGUUUGGCCAGCUAGUUGCGCUGCUAGCCUGAGACGUAUUUGUUGCCUCCAAAUUUGCACCUUGCAUGAUUGCUGCUGCCGCUGCAUGUACCUGAGGAGUGUGGAAUUUCCUGCAAAAACGUGCGUCGUUCCGAAAUUUCCAAAUGCACCACAGAAAAGUAUAAAGUGAUGUUAUAUUUAUUUGUGGGUGAUUGGAAGUAAUCAAAGCUUCGAUCAUAUUUGGAACUGAGUGAUUGUGAUGGGCUAAUAAUUCAUAUACCAAGCUGCUUUAGCAAAAGGACAUAAAAGGAAGAGAUGCAUUUCAUUUCCAAGAUUUCCACAAGUAGAACAACUUUCACUGAUAUACUUAGAAUACUUACCUGCCCUUUACCUGUAGCUAGUGCGUUGCGAUGAAACCUCCAUGCAAAAGUCUGGUAUCAGUCCAGCUAUUCGACUGUAGGAGGCCCGAUCUCCUUUAUCUUAAGAGGGAUAGUGCAGGACGGCCAUGAGCACACCACACACACUCAGGUCCAACAAGGUUCAGUUAUUUGGCAAAAUAUAUGGACAUUUCAAGAUGCAGAGAGCUAUCAUGCCAUUAAUUCCAGUCCCUUCUCGUGACGGUUUUCAACGAACAACGUGGACAAUGACAUUGCACUGGCCAACUAGAUGUGGUUACCAAACAAGAUUUCAUUAUCCAAAACCAAAAGUGAUGAAGUACAGUGAGAGACAAGGUUUGUGAGUGAUGAAUCAAGAGAUUCAACGGUGACAAGGUUCCGUGUGCAUAAGAAAAAUGGUUUUCCAGAGGCCGGUGGCAUGCUGCUGUGGUGGAACCAAAGAUAAUUAUGCAAGUAUAUGUAGGGGGGUGCUGAGUCAUAAAGCUGAUCGAAGAGCACAUGCUCCGUCCUUGCUCUCAUGGUUGGGGCUCACUCAGAGACGAACAAGACAAGGACAAAAAGGUUUCUUGCAAGCAACUUUUUGAUUCAUAAGAAGGCAUUGCUCUACCACUCCACUCCAUUCCCCACCGGCGAGAGAGACUCAGAUUGAGGUAGAGCGGAAGGCAUGGAGGGCAAGCGCACCGACCAGGUAUGUUCUGGUACCCAGACCCCCCCUCCAGUUCCUCAAGAUUUGAACCAGGAUUUUUAGUUUAGAUAGAAGCUAGAACAGACAGAGUGCGAAAAACUUGAGUUAUUCAGCCAUAUAUGAACUUUCUAAAUUCUAAUUCCUGUUUCUUGUGGUCACAUGAAAAGAAAAUCUGCUGAGAUUCUCAUACAGAUGCUAAAACUAGCUGAUUUCUGCUGUCUCUGGAUCGAUUGCGCAAUCAGAUACAUGUUCUAGAUACUACUCCCUCCAUCCCAUAAUAUAAGAGUGUUUUUGACACUAGUGUAGUGUCAAAAACGCUUUUUUAUUAUGGGACAGAGGGAGUAGGAAUUAAGCCAUCCAGUACUAUAUCAAAGUAAAAAGAACAAGAAAUUUCAAUUUAUCCUCACCUGAAUCCCUGCCCUGUUCAAUUUAUACCAAAGUACAAGAUGGCGAAGAAGGCCGCAAAGCGAGCUGUUGGUGAAGCAAGGGGUCGGGCAUAUGAGGACCUCUACCAACGGUUAGGCACGAAGGAAGGUGAAAGGGACAUCUAUAAGAUGGCUAAGAUCCGGGAGAGGAAGACGAGGGAUAUUGGCCAAGUCAAAUGCAUCAAGGACGGAGCAGGCCAACUCUUGGUGAAGGACGAAGAGAUUAAGCAUAGAUGGCGGGAGUACUUCGACAAGCUGUUCAAUGGGGAGAAUGAGAGUUCUACCAUUGAACUGAAUGACUCCUUUGAUGAGACCAGCAUGCGUUUUGUGCGGCGCGUCCAGGAGUCUGAGGUGAAGGAGGCUUUAAAAAGGAUGAAAGGAGGCAAGGCGAUGGGCCCUGAUUGUAUCCCCAUUGAGGUGUGGAAAGGUCUCGGGGACAUAGCGAUAGUAUGGCUAACCAAGCUUCUCAACCUCAUUUUUCGGGCAAACAAGAUGCCAGAAGAAUGGAGACGGAGUAUUUUAGUACCAAUCUUCAAGAACAAGGGGGAUGUUCAGAGUUGUACUAAUUACCGUGGAAUUAAGCUGAUGAGCCAUACAAUGAAGCUAUGGGAGAGAGUCAUUGAGCACCGCUUAAGAAGAAUGACAAGCGUGACCAAAAAUCAGUUUGGUUUCAUGCCUGGGAGGUCGACCAUGGAAGCCAUUUUCUUGGUACGACAACUUAUGGAGAGAUAUAGGGAGCAUAAGAAGGACUUGCAUAUGGUGUUCAUUGACUUGGAGAAGGCCUAUGAUAAGAUACCGCGGAAUGUCAUGUGGUGGGCCUUGGAGAAACACAAAGUCCCAGCAAAGUACAUUACCCUCAUCAAGGACAUGUACAAUAAUGUUGUGACAAGUGUUCGAACAAGUGAUGUCGACACCGAUGACUUCCCGAUUAAGAUAGGACUGCAUCAGGGGUCAGCUUUGAGCCCUUAUCUUUUUGCAUUGGUGAUGGAUGAGGUCACAAGGGGUAUACAAGGAGAUAUCCCAUGGUGUAUGCUCUUUGCGGAUGAUGUGGUGCUAGUUGACGAUAGUCGGACAGGGGUAAAUAGGAAGUUAGAGUUAUGGAGACAAACCUUGGAAUCGAAAGGGUUUAGGCUUAGUAGAACUAAAACCGAGUACAUGAUGUGCGGUUUCAGUACUACUAGCUGUGAGGAGGAGGAGGUUAGCCUUGAUGGCCAGGUGGUACCUCGGAAGGACACCUUUCGGUAUUUGGGAUCAAUGUUGCAGGAGGAUGGGGGUAUUGAUGAAGAUGUGAACCAUCGAAUCAAAGCCGGAUGGAUGAAGUGGCGCCAAGCUUCUGGCAUUCUCUGUGACAAGAGAGAGCCACAAAAGCUAAAAGGCAAGUUCUACAGGACGGCGGUUCGACCCGCAAUGUUGUAUGGCGCGGAGUGUUGGCCGACUAAAAGGCGACAUGUUCAACAGUUAGGUGUGGCGGAGAUGCGUAUGUUGAGAUGGAUGUGUGGCCACACGAGGAAGGAUCGAGUCCGGAAUGAUGAUAUACGAGAUAGAGUUGGGGUAGCACCAAUUGAGGAGAAGCUUGUCCAACAUCGUUUGAGAUGGUUUGGGCAUAUUCAGCGCAGGCCUCCAGAAGCUCCAGUGCAUAGCGGACGGCUAAAGCGUGCGGAGAAUGUCAAGAGAGGGCGGGGUCGACCGAUUUUGACAUGGGAGGAGUCCGUUAAGAGAGACCUGAAGGAUUGGAGUAUCGACAAAGAGCUAGCUAUGGACAGGGGUGCGUGGAAGCUUGCUAUCCAUGUGCCAGAGCCAUGAGUUGGUUGCGAGAUCUUAUGGGUUUCAUCUCUAGCCUAUCCCAACUUGUUUGGGGAGUAAAGGCUUUGUUGUUGUUGUUGUUGUUGAAUCCCUGCCCUGUUCAUCUGCUCCAAAGGCAAAGCUCAGCACGAUGCACCCAAAGGUUAUCUGCUGCAAGCUCUACAUCUCUGAAAGCCAAAAUGGGGCUGUUGUCGAUUCCAUCAGCCGCAUAGGCCAGAAAGACCCUGAGGUGGUUUUGCUCAGCAAGUUCGAGGACGAGUACUACAACCGUGUCCGCUACACGCUCGUCUCCUACAUCACCAGCGAAAGCUCAACCGGUGAAGCUGUAUUUAGCCCAAUCAGGAAGGUGUUGCUGGCGAUGAUCGAGGCUGCAUUUUCAGCCAUAAAUCUCGAAGUGCACAGUGGAACUCAUCCAAGGAUUGGUGUCGUCGAUGACAUGUCGUUCCAUCCCCUGAGUCAAGCAGCCACCAUGGAGGAUGCUGCACAGCUGGCUAAGCUGGUGGCCUCUGACAUUGGAAAUGGCUUGCAAGGUAGUGUUCUUCACCAAGAUUUUCUUCUGUCAGUAACAAAUGAGAUGAUACACUGUAUACAUAUUCUGACCCUCUUCCCUCCCUGUUCAUAAUGCAGUUCCGGUGUUCCUCUACGCGGCAGCACACCCCACCAGCAAGAGCGUCAGUGCAAUACGGCGUGAGCUCGGCUACUACCGACCAAAUCACAAGGGUGUCCAAUGGGCAGGCCAGGUGCUCCCUGAUACUCUACCAGUGAAGCCGGAUGUGGGCCCAGCUCAGGUUUCUCGUGAGAGAGGAGCCACCAUGGUCGGAGCUAAACCUUUCGUCGAGAGCUACAAUGUGCCAAUAUUCUGCAAGGAUCUCCCGACCGUGAGAAGGAUCACCCAAAGGGUGACCGGACGGAGCGGAGGGUUCCCGACGGUGCAGGCGCUUGCUCUCUUCCAUGGAGACAAUUGCAUGGAGAUCGCGUGCCUGCUGGACCCAGAUCAUGUCGGAGCCGAUCAGGUUCAGUGGCUGGUGGAGCAGAUUGCAGAAGAGCAAGGGCUUGAGGUCGACAAGGGUUACUUCACCGACCUGUCCAAGGACAUGAUGCUGGAAAGGUACUUCGAGAUUGUUUCUGCAGCAGAUUGACAUGUGCAUAAUUUUCUUAUUGUGAUCAGACAUGUCUGAACUUCCGUGUAUGCUGCUGUUUAAACUGUGGCACCAACUGGACCCCAGACCGACCAAUUCCAACAUUUUGUAUAUACUUAAUAAAAUUUGCAGUGAAGAUGGUCUAUGGAAACUUCACCACAGUAAUUGGCGCAUAACAGGUCUCACUGAAUGAGAACGUUGUUUUCAGUAAUUAAAAUCUGGCAACUUGGCAAGGCAGCAUUCCUUA
Molecule: long non-coding RNA, 9230 nt
Filed under: Triticum aestivum (bread wheat)
Lineage: Eukaryota; Viridiplantae; Streptophyta; Magnoliopsida; Poales; Poaceae
Description: long non-coding RNA (TAES_LNC024678)
Rfam family: MIR1120/MIR1122 microRNA precursor family (bases 5875-5961)
Source: RNAcentral